Molecule: ribosomal RNA, 455 nt
Filed under: uncultured bacterium
Lineage: Bacteria
Description: bacterial SSU rRNA
Rfam family: Bacterial small subunit ribosomal RNA
Source: RNAcentral
CAGCAGUGGGGAAUAUUGCACAAUGGGCGCAAGCCUGAUGCAGCCAUGCCGCGUGUAUGAAGAAGGCCUUCGGGUUGUAAAGUACUUUCAGCAGUGAGGAAGUGGGUAUGUUAAUAGCAUACUCAUUUGACGUUAGCUGCAGAAGAAGCACCGGCUAACUCCGUGCCAGCAGCCGCGGUAAUACGGAGGGUGCGAGCGUUAAUCGGAAUUACUGGGCGUAAAAGCGCAUGCAGGUGGUUUGUUAAGUCAGAUGUGAAAGCCCGGGGCUCAAACCUCGGAAUUGCAUUUGAAACUGGCAAACUAGAGUACUGUAGAGGGGGGUAGAAUUUUCAGGUGUAGCGGUGAAAAUGCGUAGAGAUCUGAAGGAAUACCGGUGGCGAAGGCGGCCCCCUGGACAGAUACUGACACUCAGAUGCGAAAGCGUGGGGAGCAAACAGGAUUAGAUACCCUGGUAG